This is a non-coding RNA of Acanthosepion pharaonis, 113 nucleotides long. NCBI's taxonomy places the organism in Eukaryota, Metazoa, Mollusca, Cephalopoda, Sepiida, Sepiidae. The record is from the annotation of a GenBank genome assembly.
UACAGCCAUAUCAUAUUGAAACACCAGUUCUCAUAUAAUCACUGAAGUUAAGCAACAUUGAGCCUGGUCAGUAUCUGGGUGGGUGACCACUUGGGAAUACCAAGUGCUGUAAG